Molecule: ribosomal RNA, 333 nt
Filed under: Xenopholis scalaris
Lineage: Eukaryota; Metazoa; Chordata; Lepidosauria; Squamata; Dipsadidae
Description: partial small subunit ribosomal RNA
Source: RNAcentral
AAAGACUUGACGGUACUUCAUAANAGCCUAGAGGAGCCUGUCUAAUAACCGAUACCCACGAUUAACCCAACCUGCUCUAGCCUCACAGCCUAUAUACCGCCGUCGCCAGCUUACCUUGUGAAAGAAAUAAAGUAAACAAAACAAGACCACAUCUUAAUACGACAGGUCGAGGUGUAGCCAAUGAGCGGGUAAAAGAUGGGCUACACUUUCUCUCACAGAAAACACGAACAAACUAUGAAACUAGAAACUGAAGGCGGAUUUAGCAGUACAUUAAGAAUAAAAUGCUUAAUAGAAACAUGCAAUGAAGUAUGUACACACCGCCCGUCAUCCCUG